GACGAACGCUGGCGGCGUGCCUAAUACAUGCAAGUAGAACGCACAGUUUAUACCGUAGCUUGCUACACCAUAAACUGUGAGUUGCGAACGGGUGAGUAACGCGUAGGUAACCUGCCUGGUAGCGGGGGAUAACUAUUGGAAACGAUAGCUAAUACCGCAUAAUAUUAAUUAUUGCAUGAUAAUUGAUUGAAAGAUGCAAUUGCAUCACUACCAGAUGGACCUGCGUUGUAUUAGCUAGUAGGUGAGGUAACGGCUCACCUAGGCGACGAUACAUAGCCGACCUGGGAGGGCGAUCGGCCACACUGGGACUGAGACACGGCCCAGACUCCUACGGGAGGCAGCAGUAGGGAAUCUUCGGCAAUGGACGAAAGUCUGACCGAGCAACGCCGCGUGAGUGAAGAAGGUUUUCGGAUCGUAAAGCUCUGUUGUAAGAGAAGAACGGGUGUGAGAGUGGAAAGUUCACACUGUGACGGUAUCUGACCAGAAAGGGACGGCUAACUACGUG
RNAcentral lists this ribosomal RNA (505 nucleotides) under uncultured bacterium. Its description in RNAcentral is "partial 16S ribosomal RNA". It matches the Rfam family "Bacterial small subunit ribosomal RNA", at positions 28 to 507 of the family's 1533-position model. The record is from RNAcentral.